RNAcentral lists this ribosomal RNA (450 nucleotides) under uncultured bacterium. Its description in RNAcentral is "partial 16S ribosomal RNA". It matches the Rfam family "Bacterial small subunit ribosomal RNA", at positions 354 to 796 of the family's 1533-position model. The record is from RNAcentral.
GUGGGGAAUCUUCCGCAAUGGACGAAAGUCUGACGGAGCAACGCCGCGUGAGUGAAGAAGGUUUUCGGAUCGUAAAGCUCUUUCGUUAGGGACGAACGUGCUCUUUGUGAAUAAUGAGGAGUAAUGACGGUACCUAAAUAAGAAGCCACGGCUAACUACGUGCCAGCAGCCGCGGUAAUACGUAGGUGGCAAGCGUUGUCCGGAAUUAUUGGGCGUAAAGCGCGCGCAGGCGGGAUAUCAAGUCUGUCUUAAAAGUGCGAGGCUCAACCUCGUGAGGGGACAGAAACUGGUAUUCUUGAGUGUCGGAGAGGAAAGUGGAAUUCCAAGUGUAGCGGUGAAAUGCGUAGAGAUUUGGAAGAACACCAGUGGCGAAGGCGACUUUCUGGACUGUGUCUGACGCUGAGAUGCGAAAGCCAGGGUAGCGAACGGGAUUAGAUACCCUAGUAGUCC